RNAcentral lists this long non-coding RNA (708 nucleotides) under Homo sapiens (human). RNAcentral describes it as "HSALNT0346449". Lineage: Eukaryota; Metazoa; Chordata; Mammalia; Primates; Hominidae. The record is from RNAcentral.
GCCUAGGUGAAGUUUGUCUCCUCUCUUGCCUAAGCCCUUUCUACAGCGGGGAUUUAGAUGUAUCACCGAAACAAGCCUCCAGGUGAUGUGACUCUUCUUCCAGAGUCCUGCCCACAAGGAGGAUUGUGACAUUUCACUGGACCAGCACCCACUCAGCUCUUUUAGUGUGGCAUGGCAGAAAGAACAAUGUAUAUGCCCACACAAAUACCUGCUGAUGGAGAUACAAAUGUGAUAGAAAAACAUCUCCUGAGAGAGACAUUUGAGGACUCCAAUUGGAUACUCAAAGAGAUUCUCUGGUGACCAAAAGGAGCCUUCAGUGAUCAAAUAACUUCAGUUAAGAAUUCCUGGUUUAAGAUUUUACAGGAAUACAUUGAACAUCAGGUUGAUGAUGCAAUGAUGGCAAAUGCAGCCCAGAAAUUUCCCUUCAAUAUUCCUAAAAGCAAAGAAGGAUAUUAAUAUCAUCAAAUCUUUGAAUGCCAUUACCCAGGCCAGGCUGACUGGCUGAGCCAUUACUGGAUGCCCAAGUGGAUCAAUGCCACUGACCCUUCUGCCCACACACUGACCCACUACAAGUCAGCUGCCAAAGCUUAAGUGCUCUUUAUGCUGUAAUGUGAAAGCAAAUAUUUCUUCUUGCUGCGUGGGGAUUAUGGAUAGAUAGGGGAACAAUGACAGUCAAUUCAGGCUAACUUGGGUGUGAAAAAAAUAAAA